GGACCUGUGCCUGAAAUAAAGGGCCACUUCGAUAAAGUGAAUCAUGUGGGUUAAACUCCCUCCAGCUCCUCAAUUAACCU
This 80-nucleotide transfer RNA is filed under the name Scatophagus argus. RNAcentral describes it as "tRNA-Ile". The stretch from base 1 to 70 matches the Rfam family "tRNA". Rfam says of the family: Transfer RNA (tRNA) molecules are approximately 80 nucleotides in length. Their secondary structure includes four short double-helical elements and three loops (D, anti-codon, and T loops). The record is from RNAcentral. Lineage: Eukaryota; Metazoa; Chordata; Actinopteri; Scatophagidae.